Molecule: ribosomal RNA, 523 nt
Filed under: uncultured bacterium
Lineage: Bacteria
Description: partial 16S ribosomal RNA
Rfam family: Bacterial small subunit ribosomal RNA
Source: RNAcentral
GACGAACGCUGGCGGCGUGCCUAAUACAUGCAAGUCGAACGCUUUUUCUUUCACCGGAGCUUGCUCCACCGAAAGAAGAAGAGUGGCGAACGGGUGAGUAACACGUGGGUAACCUGCCCAUCAGAAGGGGAUAACACUUGGAAACAGGUGCUAAUACCGUAUAACACUAUUUUCCGCAUGGAAGAAAGUUGAAAGGCGCUUUUGCGUCACUGAUGGAUGGACCCGCGGUGCAUUAGCUAGUUGGUGAGGUAACGGCUCACCAAGGCAACGAUGCAUAGCCGACCUGAGAGGGUGCUCGGCCACACUGGGACUGAGACACGGCCCAGACUCCUACGGGAGGCAGCAGUAGGGAAUCUUCGGCAAUGGACGAAAGUCUGACCGAGCAACGCCGCGUGAGUGAAGAAGGUUUUCGGAUCGUAAAACUCUGUUGUUAGAGAAGAACAAGGAUGAGAGUAAAACGUUCAUCCCUUGACGGUAUCUAACCAGAAAGCCACGGCUAACUACGUGCCAGCCGCCGCAGUAA